CUUCUUCACAUUACAGCCUCUGGAGGCGGGUGCGGGCAUCCCUCCUGGAAGGGAAUCCAGGCUGGUUUAGGAGUCAAACAUGACGCUUCCAGCUUCUCCUGUCUGCAUCUACGAGAAGAGAGAAACUGAACUGUAGCAGUGUUUGCUGUACGAAUGGACAGUGAGUCAUGUGUUAAAGUUGUCCCUUUGGGGCUGGACUCUGCAAGAAGGCCAAGCCUGCAGCCCGCCUGUCUGGCUGGAAAAGGUCAACAUUCAACACAAACAAGCAAACCAUCCAUCC
This 280-nucleotide long non-coding RNA is filed under the name Ictidomys tridecemlineatus (thirteen-lined ground squirrel). Its description in RNAcentral is "lncRNA (ENSSTOG00000031746.1)". Lineage: Eukaryota; Metazoa; Chordata; Mammalia; Rodentia; Sciuridae. The record is from RNAcentral.